RNAcentral lists this unclassified non-coding RNA (327 nucleotides) under uncultured fungus. RNAcentral describes it as "partial contains 5.8S ribosomal RNA, internal transcribed spacer 2, and large subunit ribosomal RNA". The record is from RNAcentral. RNAcentral also lists the same sequence under 1 other name. Lineage: Eukaryota; Fungi.
AACGCACCUUGCGCUCCCUGGUAUUCCGGGGAGCACGCCUGUUCGAGUGUCGUGAAAUUCUCAAGCUGGAUGGCUUUAUUGUCCAUUUCAGUUUGGAUUUGGACCUUGCCGUGUCACUGCGGCUAGUCUUAAACGUAUUAGCUGAAUCUUGGUAUGAGAUUGGUUCUACUCAGCGUGAUAAUUAUCUGACCGCUGAGGACAUCUUUCGGGAUGGCCAGACUUGUCCUCGAGUCGCUUCUAAUCUGGUUUAAAACGAGGCUUAAUUGCUUUGUUUUACCACUUUUCAACUUUGACCUCGAAUCAGGCGGGACUACCCGCUGAACUUAA